CCUAUUAAUCAUGGAACACAACCUGGACAUGAAGGUCUGGAUGUGCAUUCGAGUAGUGGAGAGCAUGUAAUCGGUGGUGACCAAGUGGAGCAUGAUCCGGGUAGACAACAUCAGGAAUGUGAUGUUCCCCAAUCAGAGGAUCUAGAAGGUGUUCAACAUGUUGAGGUUGAGGCUAGACAAAAUGAUGUGGAAGAUGAUGUCGCCCCAUCAGAGGACCCAUGUUUUGUUUAGUGUCUGUGCCCUCUGUAUAGGACUAGGCAUACAUCGAGAUCAUGAGAAAAGGGCAGAACAACUGAAGAUGGGGGAAAUAAUGAAGAAAA
Long non-coding RNA from Cryptomeria japonica (Japanese cedar), 320 nucleotides. RefSeq lists it as uncharacterized. The record is from RefSeq and is a predicted model, not a curated record. The transcript has 4 exons. Lineage: Eukaryota; Viridiplantae; Streptophyta; Pinopsida; Cupressales; Cupressaceae.